Non-coding RNA from Pantherophis guttatus, 341 nucleotides. The record is from RefSeq and is a predicted model, not a curated record. NCBI's taxonomy places the organism in Eukaryota, Metazoa, Chordata, Lepidosauria, Squamata, Colubridae.
CCCCCCCCAAGACCCUCCAGCACCACCCCGGGAGAGCAAGGAAAGACCAACCCCUCGACAUAUGGCAGAAAGCGUGGAGGAUUUUGAACUUUAAACUGGCUUCUGAAUGAAAGGAGUUUUGAAGCAUAGGACUGUCACCUUUAUAUGUGAACAUCUGUCACCCACCUAAGCUCAGGUACUUGUAAAGGAAUGCAGUGAUGAUCUUGUGAUGACCUUGUGAAGGAAUGGAUGAACCAUGAAGAGAGGAGAAACAGCAACUUAGUCCCAGGAAAAUAGGAUGUGUGUGAGAGAAAGCCUCAAAAUAACCACAUCUUGGUUUUGUUGGUAUUAAAUGGGGAAGA